RNAcentral lists this transfer RNA (88 nucleotides) under Clostridia bacterium. RNAcentral describes it as "tRNA-Ile". It matches the Rfam family "tRNA". From Rfam's summary of the family: Transfer RNA (tRNA) molecules are approximately 80 nucleotides in length. Their secondary structure includes four short double-helical elements and three loops (D, anti-codon, and T loops). The record is from RNAcentral. Lineage: Bacteria; Bacillati; Bacillota; Clostridia.
GGGGAGCUAGCUCAGUUGGUAAGAGCCACGGUCUUAUAAACCGUAAGCCCUAGCAAGGUAAAGCCGAGUUCGAAUCUCGGGCUCCCUA